AGUCCCAUAAAUAGGCUGCUGCUGAACACGACCCCCUCUGGAGUUUGUGUCAGGCGCUGGUGGAGAUGAAAGUCAGCCACGAAGGAGCUCUCUAAUGACUGAAACAUGUGACACGAGGACAGGAAGGGAGAGUUUAGUCGUCUUCGCUGUUAUCCCUGAUGUUGCUUCCUGUUGUUCACUUCCUGUCAGCCAGCUCAGUCCGAACGAAGCACUUCUGCUUCCCACUAAAGAACGAGGGUAAAAAUAGACCGCCGCUUCAUUCUAGUUACUUCCAUCUAACGUUUUUUGUGACUGUUUUGCCAUCUCUACCGUGGUUAAAUCUUUGCAGCUUUCUGUUUCCUCGAACGCAUCACCCUGCAGAACCACGUCUGUCUGUGGGUGAUGGUUUUGGUUUAGUGUCUGAGGCCGUGAUGCAGACGCUGAGCCGAUCUGUCGAGAUGAAGAGGGAGCUGAGCCAGAAAGCCAGGCUCUCGAUUUACCGGUCGAUCUACGUCCCAAUCCUCACCUAUGGUCAUGAGCUUUGGGUAAUGGCCGAAAGAACGAGAUCGCGGAUACAAGCGGCCGAAAUGAGUUUCCUCCGUAGGGUGGCCGGGCUCAGCCUUAGAGAUAGGGUGAGGAGCUCGGACAUUCGGGAGGGACUUGGAGUAGACCCGCUGCUCCUCCACAUCGAGAGGAGCCAGUUGAGGUGGUUUGGGCAUCUGGUCAGGAUGCCUCCUGGACGCCUCCCUGGGGAGGUGUUUCGGGCAUGUCCUGCCGGCAGGAGGCCCCCGGGUCGACCCAGGACACGUUGGAGAGGUUACAUCUCCAAUCUGGUCUGGGAACGCCUUGGUGUCCUGCCGGAGGAGCUGGUGGAGGUGGCCGGGGAGAGGACGGUCUGGAGCUCCCUAGUUGGGAUGCUGCCCCCGCGACCCGGACCCGGAUAAGCGGAGGAAGACGACGACGACGUCUGAGGCCGACUGAGGAAAGAAACUUCAGGGACGAUGGCUCAGAGAACUUUAACAUUAUUAAGCAUCAAUAAACAGGUUCUCUGACACCUAUCGUUAUCAACUUCAGGGUCCUUGGGGGGGGCACCAUUGGGUCCUUGGGGGGGGGGGGCACCAUUCCAGUAAUUAGCAGUUGCCAACAUCACAGCUGAGCUUCAGACGGCAUGUUGUGGAGUCUUAUUUCCUGAUAUUUGGACAUCUCGCCUCUGAUUGGAUAACAGCAACGCAACUCUACCGCUGACUCUGUAACAUUGAAGUUUUAUCUCAACAAAUGUUUAUGUUUAUAUAUUUAGCAGAUACUUUUGUCCAAAGCAACUUACAGGUGAUAAUGACACAAGCCUGGAGGAGCUUCUGCUGUGUGGAGAAGUUGCUAAUGCUAACAGUUAGCUUACACUAGUUGGGACGUUCUCUGAAGAUUCCUGGACACUAAAACAACAAAAGAUUGGUGAGUCCACUGUGUGACGUAUGGAUGUAGUUUCUACAGCUGAAUGAAGAUAAGACUGAGAUCCUCAUCUGUGUCCCAGACAAGCUGGUUCCCAAAGUCAGAGACUCUCUUGGUCAGCUUGCUUCUCACACCAAACCCUCUGUCAGGAAUCUUGGCGUGACCUUUGACCCAGCUCUCACCCUGGAUUCUCAUGUCAGUUCUCUUGUUCGCUCUUCCUUCUUCCAUCUCAGGAACAUUGCUAAGCUGAGUCCCAUUCUGCCCCGCUCUGAACUUGAGACAGUUCUCCACACCUUCAUCUCCUCACGCUUAGACUACUGUAACUCUCUUUUCACGUGUCUGAGCAGAACCUCCCUGAACCGUCUACAGGUGGUUCAGAAUGCCUGUGCUCGGCUUCUGACCAAGUCCUCCAAACACACCCACAUCACCCCGCUUCUCCUCCAGCUUCACUGGCUGCCAGUCAACUUCAGGGUUCAUUUCAAGAUCCUGGUUCUGGUCUAUAGGGCCUUACAUGGACAAGCACCAUCUUACAUUGGUGAUCUUCUCAGUCCCUACACCCCCAGCAGGUCCCUGAGGUCCAGUGAUCAAAGUCUACUGGUUGUGCAGCACCAGGCUAAAGGUCAAAGGUGACAGAUCAUCUGCUGCUGUGGCCCCCAGACUCUGGACCUCCCUCCCCCUGAGUCUGAGACCAGUGGACUCAGUGGUCUCCUUUAAACUCACCUGUUCAGGCUUUGGUGGGACCUUCAUCACCACCCUCUCCUUGUUCUACUAGGACCAGGCGGAAAACAACCACUUGUGUUUAAGCCUGUUUCCCAUUAGAACCGUCCAGAAGCUCAUCCUUUGGCUCUGCUGCUGCUUGCUAACGUGUGAUUGGCCGUUCCUGCCACUUGUGUACUUGACAGUUCUGCAUUCCUGACGUUGCAUAAAAGAGCCUCUAGGUUGUAGUUUUAUACAUACUUUUUGUACACUUACUGUAAUGGCUUGUGUAAAAAUUAAAACGAUGAUUGUUGCUAUAGUGAUAGUUGGUAAUGUGUAACGUCAAAAAGGGUAAAUUUUCACCCAUAUAUUGACCAACAUAGUGACCUUUCAUCUACAGCUUGAAUCCACUUUCUGUGUGGCCUAACGGAACCAGAAGGUUCUGUUCAGCACAUGUUGACAUUCCAUGAAGACAACACGUUCAAACAAACAUCCUCUCCCAAGGUCCUACACUCUCUGCAUGAAAGCCAGACGUCAACAUUCUUCACUCUGAAUAAGGCCUAGUCCACACGUAGCCGGGGUUUUUUAAAAACAAAUAUCCGCCCCUCCAAAAACUUGCAUCCACACCACCUCGUUUAAAAGAAACUCUGUCCACACGUACCCGGAUAAAUACGUUGUUAAGGACAUGCCAGACCUGUAGGCGGCAGUACUUCCCCGUUCUUAACCUCGUCCUUCGUCUGUGGUCUUCAGCAAGGAGCAGUAAUUCCUCUUGCAAAAACAAACAAGCAGAAAGCGCUUGGACAAUUGAUAAAGCGAGCGCAGCUCUGAGGGCUUCCAUGCUGUCGGCUAGUGUAAACACAGGUCGCACACGUGAUGUCAGCAUUUUUUGUCGCGGAAAGUGACGCUGCGGACCUUAAAACUCCGGUUUUGUCUGUCCACACGCAGACACCCAAAACGGAGAAAACGCAGAUCUUCACUUUGGCCGGAGUUUUUAAAAAGAUCUGUUUUCGUGUGAAAAAACUCCGUUUUCAUGUGGAUGACAGGCCAAAACGUAGAAAAAUAUCUACGUUUUGGCAGAUCCCCGGCUACGUGUGGACAGGGCCUCAGUGAAGUUUCCAUGACUUUACAACUCAUAAGUUCAAUCAUCAUAUGUGAUGAAUGAACAAGAUGUUUAAAUCAAAUGUUUGAAUAUGAUCCACUUGUAUCACUGAUCACUAUGUGUUCGACGUGACAAGUUAAUCAUCAUCUGCACUCGUACACAUCUUCAUAAGAUACAAGUUAAGGUUAAGGUUCACCUCACAUAACGUUUAAGGAUUAUUUAUUCACAGUGCUCAGAAUCUUGCGUUUGAAGGAAGGCGUGGGAUUCUGAGGGAUGUUGAUAAAUAAUCAGAAACGUUUCAAGUUCUGAUUUGCCAGAAAUCAUAACACUGUGGUUUAUUAAAACAGGAUUUACUUCCCAAAUAAUUCAGUUUCCAGCUGAAACCCGAUUCGGCCAAAUCGGGAAAGAAGCCUCUUUUGAAACCAUCUUCUCUGACCUCCUGUCCAAGCCUCUUUGCAACGCUGCGGCUGAUACCAGACAACCAGCUUGUUACGGCCCAGGGCCAUUUGGGUUUUUUUCCCCUCUAUGUGUGUGUGAGAGGAGAUGCAGCACCUGUCUCCCAUCUCACUAAAUUGCCUCCCAAUUAGACUCUCCCAGCUGAUCCUGAUCCGCUCUGCCAGCAGCAUAAAAGUCAGCCAGCCCUCAGUUCAGGGAGCAGCAGGCCUGGGAGGUUCUCUCUGGUCUGCUGUCUCCUCAGCAGCGUUUGGUUUUGUUAUAGUAUUAUGUGACAACUUUGGUGGGUGCUUAGGAAACUCUCUCUGUUUAACCGUCAGCCUUUUUAGGUGUAAAGGAAACUUUCCCCUUGCUUUAAAUAAGACAUCACUCGGUAAAAAGGAAAGCCCCCUGGACAGCCUGGAUCGUGACAUCAAGCAAACAUCAACCAACGCAAAUAAGCAUUCCAGCUUCCAGCCUUCACCUGGAGGGAUCUCCGACUGGAAGGGUCCUAUCGGAACGAUCUACGGGUUCCUGAUAUCAGAGCUCACUCCACCGGCAGUGACCAACGACACCCCCCCCCCCCCCCCCUCCGGAUCGAACGAGAACCUCCACACCAAGGCAGCAUGCGUCUAUCAGCUGUGCAAACCACCGACCCCUCCCUGUGGCAAACUUCCAGCAUCUUAUCUGUGAACACUACCAGUAAGGAAAAGAUGCAUUUGUAACCAUUUCUAGAUCUUUAUAAAAUAAGUACAGCACGGUCAACACCUUGUUGUCAUAACUCUUUAUAUUAAAGUGAUCUGUCCCAAGUGA
This is a non-coding RNA of Nothobranchius furzeri (turquoise killifish), 4465 nucleotides long. The record is from RefSeq and is a predicted model, not a curated record. NCBI's taxonomy places the organism in Eukaryota, Metazoa, Chordata, Actinopteri, Cyprinodontiformes, Nothobranchiidae.